CACGUAGUUAGCCGUGGCUUUCUGGUUAAAUACCGUCACUGGGUAAACAGUUACUCUUACCCACGUUCUUCUUUAACAACAGAGCUUUACGAGCCGAAACCCUUCUUCACUCACGCGGCGUUGCUCCAUCAGACUUGCGUCCAUUGUGGAAGAUUCCCUACUGCUGCCUCCCGUAGGAGUCUGGGCCGUGUCUCAGUCCCAAUGUUGCCGAUUACCCUCUCAGGUCGGCUACGUAUCACUGCCUUGGUGAGCCUUUACCUCACCAACUAGCUAAUACGCCGCGGGUCCAUCCAGAAGUGAUAGCAGAGCCAUCUUUUAAAAGAAACCAUGCGGUUUUCUCUGUUAUACGGUAUUAGCAUCUGUUUCCAGGUGUUAUCCCCUACUUCUGGGCAGGUUACCCACGUGUUACUCACCCGUUCGCCACUCACUUCGUGUUAAAAUCUCAAUCAGUACAAGUACGUCAUAAUCAAUUAACGGAAGUUCGUUCGACUUGCAUGUAUUAGGCACGCCGCCAGCGUUCAU
RNAcentral lists this ribosomal RNA (522 nucleotides) under uncultured Pediococcus sp. RNAcentral's name for it is "partial 16S ribosomal RNA". The record is from RNAcentral. Lineage: Bacteria; Bacillati; Bacillota; Bacilli; Lactobacillales; Lactobacillaceae.